UGGCUCAUCUUCCUACUCAAGAUCACUUCU
RNAcentral lists this non-coding RNA (30 nucleotides) under Rattus norvegicus (Norway rat). Lineage: Eukaryota; Metazoa; Chordata; Mammalia; Rodentia; Muridae. The record is from RNAcentral.